GAGGAAAAGAAACCAACAGGGAUUGCCCUAGUAACGGCGAGCGAAGCGGCAACAGCUCAAAUUUGAAAUCUGGCUACUUUGUAGUCCGAGUUGUAAUUUGUAGAGGAUGCUUUUGGUGAGGUGCCUUCCGAGUUCCCUGGAACGGGACGCCAGAGAGGGUGAGAGCCCCGUACGGUUGGAUACCAAACCUUUGUAUAGCUCCUUCAACGAGUCGAGUAGUUUGGGAAUGCUGCUCUAAAUGGGAGGUAUAUCUCUUCUAAAGCUAAAUAUAGGCUAGAGACCGAUAGCGCACAAGUAGAGUGAUCGAAAGAUGAAAAGCACUUUGAAAAGAGAGUUAAACAGCACGUGAAAUUGUUGAAAGGGAAGCGCCUAUGACCAGACUUGUUUCUUUCAGUUUUGUUAGUUCUCGGACUGAUUUACUCUGUUAGUACAGGCCAGCAUCAGUUUGUUGUCGGGGAGAAAGGCUUAGGGAAUGUGGCUCCUUCGGGAGUGUUAUAGCCCUUUGCAUAAUACCCUUCGGCAGACUGAGGACCGCGCUUCGGCAAGGAUGCUGGCGUAAUGGUCAUCAGCGACCCGUCUUGAAACACGGACCAAGGAGUCAACCUUAUGUGCGAGUGUUUGGGUGUAAAACCCCAGCGCGUAAUGAACGUGAACGUAGGUGAGAGCUUCGGCGCAUCAUCGACCGAUUCUGAUGUUCUCGGAUGGAUUUGAGUAAGAGCACACAGGGUUGGACCCGAAAGAAGGUGAACUAUGCUUGUAUAGGGUGAAGCCAGAGGAAACUCUGGUGGAGGCUCGCAGCGGUUCUGACGUGCAAAUCGAUCGUCAAAUAUGAGCAUGGGGGCGAAAGA
Molecule: ribosomal RNA, 848 nt
Filed under: Chalaropsis thielavioides
Lineage: Eukaryota; Fungi; Ascomycota; Sordariomycetes; Microascales; Ceratocystidaceae
Description: partial large subunit ribosomal RNA
Rfam family: Eukaryotic large subunit ribosomal RNA
Source: RNAcentral